This 280-nucleotide ribosomal RNA is filed under the name Dialister succinatiphilus YIT 11850. RNAcentral describes it as "partial 16S ribosomal RNA". It matches the Rfam family "Bacterial small subunit ribosomal RNA", at positions 524 to 814 of the family's 1533-position model. Lineage: Bacteria; Bacillati; Bacillota; Negativicutes; Veillonellales; Veillonellaceae. The record is from RNAcentral.
UACGUAGGUGGCAAGCGUUGUCCGGAAUUAUUGGGCGUAAAGCGCGCGCAGGCGGCUUCUUAAGUCCAUCUUAAAAGUGCGGGGCUUAACCCCGUGAUGGGAUGGAAACUGAGAGGCUGGAGUAUCGGAGAGGAAAGUGGAAUUCCUAGUGUAGCGGUGAAAUGCGUAGAGAUUAGGAAGAACACCGGUGGCGAAGGCGACUUUCUGGACGACAACUGACGCUGAGGCGCGAAAGCGUGGGGAGCAAACAGGAUUAGAUACCUAGUCCGGCUGACUGACU